GAGUGGGCAACUAACAGCGUCCACAGGCGGCGGUGGAUAGGAUAGGAUAGUGGGGGUGUGAAGUGUGAAAUGGAUGGGCUGAACUGAACAACGGUGUCAUUGGACGAUGAUGAGAUGAUGACUAUUAUUGGACGACGAGGACCACAACCAUGACGACGACCAAGGCCUGCAAAUCUGAGGUGAGGUGUUUUUUUAAAUAUUUUACUACAGCAAUUUUUCAAAAAUUACCGAUGUUGUUUGGAUUGCUGCUGCGUAUGAUAAACUCGUUAUUAAAAUAAAAAAAAAAAAAAAAAAAGCUAUCCACUUGGAUUGACCUAUAUUUAAAAAAUAACUAUUUUUUCUUUUUCUAUUAAAUCACUUUCAAGCUACAAGCUGCCUGUAUUUUCAGAGAGAUGAACAGGCGUGCGUCAUUAAAUUUCCACAUGAUUACAGUAGCAUUAUUGUCUUGGGAGAGAGAUUCUGAUUUUUGUUGAGAAAUGAAGAACAUAACUUCCAUAAGAAAAAACCAGCAGCAUGGACAUGGCCAUUCAUACGAGUCUUCCACAAAAACAGAGUAUAAAUUCCAGACGGAGCCGAAUCAUUAUUUAGUGUUGCACAAAAUCGAAAACUUGACAAUGAAAAUAGCUUGAAGGUUCCCUAGACACUUUACUAUUUGAGGAUGCUCACCUCGGCCAUCCUGCGUGUCCGAGGUGAACUCACCUCGUCCCUUAUCAGAGCUCAUCCGUAUCUUGGGCAUAACCCCUGAGCUCGGCCACUUCCCUAGCCUAUCGUGUAGGUGACCUCGGCACCACCCACUUCGGCCGCACGCUGAUGAGGUCACGGCCCCUGACAUCACCCAGGUCCAGUGCUUUAUCUGAAAAGCACUGGAGACUCUUAAUGGAACCUGCUCAAUACUCUCCGUCAUCACACUCAGGCGGCUACAGUGUCAGAGUCAGGCCUCCUGACACGGGACAGAGCCGUAAUGACCAGAGAAUGGGUCCCACCAGCAUGAGCUCUCCGCUCUGUCCUCUACCCUCCUAUAAAUACCCCACAUACACUCCUAGCAAGUAAGCAUACACUGUUCAUUUGCUCAUACUCU
RNAcentral lists this long non-coding RNA (1078 nucleotides) under Coffea arabica (coffee). Its description in RNAcentral is "long non-coding RNA (CARA_LNC004411)". The record is from RNAcentral. Lineage: Eukaryota; Viridiplantae; Streptophyta; Magnoliopsida; Gentianales; Rubiaceae.